AAAUCCAGGCAGCGAAGGAAAAUGGCGGCGCGGGGCUGAAGGUGGUGGGGACGGCGAGAGGGAGCCGGGCUUUGGCUCCUUUCCCAGGCAUUCCUAUGGGCUUCUGUUGGAGAGAACACUGUGCUAGGAUGUGACUUAAAAUGACUUCUGAUUCUGAAGGUCCUCUGAAAAACACGCUGUGCUUGAAUGUUUGCUAAGGACAAGUAAGUGACUGAUCUCAUAGUUGAAAUAUAUAUAUAUAUACCUGAAAAGUUAUUCCCUUACUGUUUUUAAAGCUACAAUUUAGUAUAUAAGAAGCAUAUUCUUAAAAAAAAAAAAAAGGAGAGGGGGGAGGGAAAAAGGAAUAAAACCCCAAACUUAUUGCACUGCUGCCAGAAAGUGAAUUUUCUGUUUAUUUUCUUAUGGCUUCCUAUCUGUGUAAGUGAAAACAUCAUUUGUUUCUAUGAUCAGUCUUAUAACAAAGGAAUCUUUGCAUAAUAUCAAGAAUAUUUUGACUCAGAAGUUUCACUGAAAAGCUGUGAUACUUUUUACAUAUGUUUAUUUGAGGGAAAUAUAAGUUUGAAAUAAUGAAUUUCCACCUAGAAUACAGAGUUGCAGAAUGGAGUGUCCUCUAAUUUUAUUUAUAUCAAAUAAAAUUUAAAUAUUUGGGGCUUCUCUUAGCACAAAACAGUUAGUUUAUUGCAAUUUGCAUCUUAUGAAAUGUGUGACUUACAGCUUGGUUUUUAGGAGAGAGGAUUAUAUUUAAUAUUUUAACAUAUAAAAUAAAAAAAAUUCCAGGCCAUCUUCAUGAUUCAUUGAAGAGAACUUCUUUAAUUCUUUGUAAUUGGCUUAUUUUGAGUAAUGCUAAGAGCCAAUUUAUGCUUUUUUGCCAAGUGCAUUUUCCAAACAAGAAAUCAUCUCAGACAGAAGAACCUCCAAGCAUGCAAGACACCACAAGUACAUAUAUUUCAUCUAGGAAAAACUUCAUGGUUUCAUAGGGCCAGCAAAGUGUUAAAAACGCUUUCAUGCAAAAAAUAUUAUUUUAAAAAGUAUUUUUAUGUGUUUUAAAUUAGUAUUGU
Molecule: long non-coding RNA, 1058 nt
Organism: Pipra filicauda (Wire-tailed manakin)
Lineage: Eukaryota; Metazoa; Chordata; Aves; Passeriformes; Pipridae
Exons: 3
Source: RefSeq, a predicted model, not a curated record